CUUCGCUGAUGUCGAACUUCCCUUCACUCGCGGAACUCUCCGAACUCUCGGAACUGUCGCGGAACUCUCGCUGCUUGAAUAUCUGUGACGCCUUUCUCGAACCGACGAGAGCGGCUGUCACGAGUCGCGUCAUCCCGGGCAGACCCGACGCCCGAAACUAUCGAGAGUGGUGACGCUUAUUCACGCCACUCCACGCGGCGGCCUCUAUAAUAAGCCCGCAAUUCCCAUGCCGCUAAAAGUGAUAAUAGCCCGAGGCGGGACGACGAGCAUGGAGCAUUGAUGGGGGGGGGGGGGGUUAGCGAGGACCCUUGUAAUCUGGCCAGGCACGCGUGGCAUGCCUUACGUCAAUGGACGGCGCGUGACGUCAGUUUCUUAGCUUUUGGGAUUUAGUCACGUCAAAGUCCGAAGGUUUCACCGACGUUUCAGUCGACAGUCCAGUUGCCAUCAUCAGGCUGGCAUCCUACUUUCAUACUACUGGCAUGUACUUAGCUUUGUAGAAACUUGUGCAAGAGUAUAUAUCGAUUUAGAUUGGUUAGCAAACCUGUUAUGAUUUUCUUAUUUUGUCUUAGCAUUUUUUUUUUUUUUUUUAAAUCCGGGAAGGGAGGGUUCCGGACUCCAUGGGCAUUCCUUUUGGCCAAGUGUCCAAGUGUCAGUCAGUCAUUCACGGUACUGUUUUAAAGGUAAUAGAGAUAACUUGGAAUAUUUGUUCUUGGAACCUGUGCGGUGAGAAAGGGCAAGGAAAAAGCCAGGUGGCUGUAACAACAUUAUGGUGGGGAGCGUCUUGCGUGAGCUGUAAUUUUUGGUUGCCGGGACAGGUGCUCGCUGUGAAAGGACGGGGCUCGAUAGCUCGCCCGUUGCGUGGGCUGCCCUCCCUCUUUUGAACCCCCUCUCCCCCUUUUUUUUUUAAAUCUAUUGUUCCCUACGACUUCACGAGGAGCGCGCAGCCAAUCACAGGCCGCCGCUCCUCCUCGCUCGUGCGAACUGAAAACCCUUCUCCCUUCUCCGUCGCGUCGCUUCUCCGGCCUCUUGCAAGACUGCUGACCGGCAACAGGUCGCUUGUAUGUCUCUUCUCUCUCUCUCUCUCUCUCUCUCUCACUCUCUCCCCCCCCCCCCCAUUUUUCCGCGUACACGCGUGUGCCUCGCGAUUUACGUGGCGGAUAAAAUGCUAAUUUCGCAGGGCAGGUAACCAUUGUCGAUAUCCGACCCCCUUACCCUGACCUCUCUCUCUCUCUCUCUCUCUCUCGAUCUCUCACCCCUUCCUCCUUUACAGACCUUCUCCUCUUCAGUGAUCCGGUUCGCGUUGUUCGAGCGUGCGAGCCGACGCGAUCGUGCGAAGGGGUCAGAACGGAUGGUACCGUUGUGCAGAUGCAACCAGAGUGUCUCUCUCUCUCUGUGUGUGUGAGAGAAUGAGAUAGAAAUAAAACAAGAGUUGGGUGAUAAUUUUAGCAGGCUUUCACAGCCAUUGUCUGAAGUAGCUUGGCUUCUGGGUUGUAGCUGUGAUGUCCUCGGCGAUAAAUUCACCGACGUUUCGGUCGACAUUGCAGUCGCCGUCAUCAGGGAGCAGUUACCUGCUGAGGUGACCGAAACGUCGGUGAAUUAAUUCAUCGCCAAGGACGCGGCUACAACCCAGAAUUCAAGCUACUUAAGACUUUGGGAAAUCAUGUUCGGGCUCAUAUUGAAGCGACCAGGAAUCAUCACUGGUAUGUAGACGCUGUGGCGGUUGGAUAUAGGUUUUUUUUUCUUCUCAAAAUAUACACAGGAUAAUAUAUAUAAAGCAUGUCCGCGAACUACGGCGCAUAAAUUCGUUUUGGGGGGAAGGGGGUAGGAAACUCCAAAGCAAGCAAUUUUUUUGUUUAGGUAGGUACAUGAUAUGUCCGGAAACGAAACCCUGCAAAGUUACAAUCGUGGACAAGUAGCGUGCAAAUUUGAAUUUCCCGCGCAUUUAUUAGCCACUCCACUGGCUGAUGUGACGUCCCAAUGAUCCGCGGGAAGCUGGCUGACUAUCGCGUGGUUUAUAUUUAGCCAAGUGCGAACAGGUGACGACCUGGUUGGUCUGCGUCACCUCCGUAGUACGAAGUUCGCCAGCUUCAGGUUGUCAAUGGUUAAGACGUGUGACGGUCUUCCGACUCCUUCCAUUUUUGACGUGACAACGUCUAAUAAAUCGACGAAUUCCAGCUGCACGCAUGAAAAAGUGUCCCGUUACGCACAUUUUCCCGUUACGCUGUGUCCCGUUACGCUCAGUGUACGCUUGCGCCGCAUCUAUCUAUCUAUCUAUCUUCCACUCGAUUGUAACAAACAACGAUUUGACUUUUUCGAGGCACAUUCAACUUGAAACACUCCCAUUCGUUUCCUACUUUUCCUAUCAUCGUCCUAUCCUUAACAGAAUAACACAGAUUGGAAGAAGUUAAAUAGCAAACAUGUACAAAAGUUAUAGUUAAAAUAAUCUCUUCGUUAAAGUAAUAAACAUAUUUGAAUUAAUGAGUGCACAUAAAAGUAAAUUUAUCAAUUAAAUUGUAGAUUUCAUUUCACUCCUUCUUUGUAUCCAUACAAAGUAGUGAUAAUUCAAUAAAAAUUAUUCAAUUUUAUUCAUAAAAGUAUGCAAUCAUUUCAUCAAUGUUUUGUUAUGACUUUGUCACGUUAAACUAUCGUCCGUAAACCGACUUUACAGACAACCAAUUUUCGUUGUUGUGAAGCGCCCUUCGUGAAUGCGCGCUAAUCCCGCUGCAUUUCCUCUCGCAACCCCUGCACUCCGUAUGUGCACAUCGGACAUACCUGUGAAUGUUACACUGCAAAAUAAAGGUUUGUGAUUUUUACAAUGACAAUCCUUGGAAACUCAGAUACCACUUGUAAAACUGCAGGGCAGAGCUUUGUAAAAUUGUAAAAAGUUUCAAAGCUCUGCUUUGCAAUUAUUUUACAAGUGUCAUUGUUGGCAACUGAGUUUCCAAGGAUUAUCCUUGUAAAAGUACAAGUAUAAUUUUACAGUGUAAGUCUGUAUCGUGCCGUUUUCGGUCGUAAACUCUGCCAUCGUAGCACCAUGCUCAGUAAACCAUCAGCACUGCGCUAAGAUUAGAUUAUUAUAGAUGUUUUUCUUGUUUUAUUUUAAUAAUUUUACAGUCAAAAUAGUUUCAUGUUUGUUAAAUUUUUUUUUGGUUUGAAGCCCUUAUUUUAUGAAAAACCAUUUGCAUUUUUUUCAAAUUGUUCUCUGUAUUGACUAUUUCUGUAAAUUCAGGUCUCCCUAAUGAAAAUCUCUAGCCGACAAAACAUAACCCCAUCGAAUUCUGUCAAGUCGUUUAGACUUUAUUAUUGUUUUUAUAUUCUAACCUCUUAAACCGAAAGUAAGUGGAAUUUCUCUGGUAAAAUGUUAAAACAUCUUAUCCUAAAUUGAGUUUUUUUUCUUCCAUCUAUCAAAUAUUGUUUAUUGCAGUAGCUUUCGCAGUUUCAUAUUUAAAGUAUGGCUAACGACUCUGCAGUCAUAUUCGGUGACCUCUCUCUCUCUCUCUCACCCCCCCCCCCCUACUUCCCACCCUUUUUAGAGAUGGUGAUUUUUCAGUUUGGGGAAACUGUGUAUUCGCAGGGAUUAGAAGUUCGAACUCCCCCGUAUAAGCUGCUUCGUACAGUGAACUUGGCGUAACGCCGAACUCCAAUAACAACUAGAAACCUUUCUACAAAGUAACUUCAGUAUGCUUUUAUUACUUCAUUUUUGCAGAGAUAAAUUCAGACACUCGAAAUUGUACGUCGAGGGCGACAUUCCGUCGCCUGGUUCUCCCUCGCGAACUCCUGCGGUUGGAUGCCCUAUUACUAGAGACCGGAAAAAUUCGCGGAUUCAUUUCACGAUAUGAUAGAAUCCAAACAACUGUACCUUUAUAUUGCUUCUCUGAUUGGCUCGCAGUUUAUCUGAUGGACUUUGAGCCAAUGGAAAAUCUUCAGCCAAAAAAGUAUCGAAUCGCAAGCGUCCCAGUUGACAGGUGUCACAAGUCAGUAGCCAAUGAGCAGGUGGCAUUUGCCCGAGUGUGUAGGAAAUUGUAGGGUCUAACCUAGAGGUCAUCCAAAGCACGAAUUUUUCCAGUCUCUACCUAUUACUAGCGACACUUGUAUUUCGCGAAUACAUUUCGUGUCAAGGUAUUUCACAAAAUACUGUAGCUUUUCUCCUGUGGUUAUUGGCUGAGGUCGGUGAGAGGUGUCGUCCCGCUUUUGACGGGGCCAAUGAGAAUGUGGUCACCGUACUGCUGCACUCUCACAAUUUGCCAUGACUCUUAGAAAAAAUUACAGUGCUUUAUGAAAUACCUUGACAUGAAAUGAAAUCGCGAAAUACAGGUGUCCCUACCUACUACUAGGGGCAGGCAAUUUUCGCGAAAAGAUCUGAACACUUAUUAGAUUGCAACAACACUGUUAGAAAUUACAGUAAAUUUACGGACAUUCCAACGAAGAAACACCCGUAAAUAAACUGAACGCUCUUCGUAUUUCUGUAAAACGGAAUCUCCGUAAAAUUACGGUGGUAUUAGAGAGAGAGAGAUAGCUGUGCUAUCGCCCCCCUCUCUCAUUCACCGUUUAGUACCCUCUACGCAUGCGCGUAAUUUACUUCGGCGUACUUCGGCCUACUUCGUGAACUAUCAUUUGUUUUUUUCCCCAUGCAUUCCGUGUUACCGUGUUUUGUUGCUGUUUCUUAAUUCGCAUAUAUAUGGAAUUGUUCAAGAGAUAUUCCUAGUGAUUUUAUAUUAAUUAUUGUUGAAAUUAAGUUUACUGCUUUUAAGAUUGAUAAAAUACCUGCUACAUGUAAUGAAAAAAUAGCUUAGUCUGGAAGUUGACCGUGGUCAGCCAUGUGUGGAAGAAGAAAGCAAGCAAUUUUUCGAAGUUUUAUACAAUCGGAAGAAUUUUGUGAGUCCAUGCGCAAGGGCCAUCUCCCUAAUUCUCGGAAGUUUAUCUUGUUUGUGGACAAGAAAAUGUCCCUAGAAACAUCAGACGUAGUCCAUUAUGAAGAUUAAUCCUACUGUAUAAAAAAGCAUCAAGGAAACCCCAGAGUUGGAACUUUGAAGAAAGUGGCAGAUACAAUUACUAAAAUUGUUGAAUUGUCAAAGCUGUUGGAUGAUUUGUACAUGCAGAUUUGUGUGGUGUUUCAAGAUUAUUUUUUUUUUAAUUAUUGUGAUUAAACAAUUCUAAUAUGAAUAUUUUACAUUUAUAUUUAUUUAAAAUGUUGGCUUAUAUUAACAAUGCAUUUUGUAAAUAAAUAUUUAUAAAGGUAUAGCUCAUUUAUUUAUUUUAAUUUUUGAAAAUUUACCAGCACAUAAACAAAGGAACUAUGUGCUACGAUUAUGGUUCUUAUGUCUUACAAUGGCAUAUUCUGUACGUUAAUCAACUAGCAGUGCUGCUAAAUAUUAUGUUUUUUUGUUGUUUAAUGUUUCAAUUUUGUAACAGAAACUAUGUCUCCUAAGCAAAACUUAUUGUGGGAAUUUUUAGCAAAAAUUUUCGGGAUUUACAUAUCAUUAUAAGCUCUAUUGGUGUGUUUUUGCACUAAAAUAAUAAUAAAUACAGUAAAUGGAUAUUUAUUCAAAACUAGAUGAUUUAAGUACAAUGUAUCUAUACUUUUUAUUACUUCACAAGUUAACAUACUUUUUCAUUGUAGUAUAAACACUGGUCCUACUUCCUACAAAUAUAUAAACUUAAAAAUUUUAAGGUUCAUAUGCUUUUCAAUUGUGCUUUUUACACUUAACCAAUUUGGUUACAGUUUGAUACAUAGGUAGCCCAUAUACUGGAUUAACACAAAUGCUAUAGAGUAACUUAUCAUUAAAAGUAUCCAAAAAACCCAUACUUUGGUACUUUUUAAUACUGUAUGCCUCAAAGUGUGUUGCUUUGUAAUGAUUUUUCACUAAUAAAAAAUUCCACCCCUCAGGGAGGGGUGAUAAGUAUCAUAAAAAUACCUCACAAUUAGGCUAAAUGAAGCAUAAGGCAAGGUUGAGUAUCCUACUAAUCUUUAAAUUAUGUAAUUUUUUGAGUUUAAAAGUUUAUAACGUAAUGAAGUCUUUGCUACCUACCUGAUUUUGAUAAAAUUUAAAACAGGAUUCGUAUCUUCUAGAUUAUAGUCUAACAAAUAAUGGAGUUAAUGUAAGAAUGUGAGUAAAUAUAAUAUUUUUAACUAUGAAAUUUUAUCAUAUUUAGAUAAAGAAUGCCAUUUUUUAAUUGGGAAGAAGUCAGGGCUUAGUAUAUUCUAAAUGGCUCCUUCUGACUUCUUAUACAUUCGACAAAAUAAAGAGAUUUUAUGUAACUGGAUUUUCCACACAAAACCCUCAAUAUACACUGUACAUGAUUAAAAUUCCACCUCUAAAUUGGGUUUAUAAUAGAAAAUGGUAGAAAGUAAUUUAUUUGGUGUGAAUUGUAAAAUGGCCAUUAAGUAAAACAUGUAGAGGCUUAGAGUUAUGUUUUUGCUCCAAAAGUAAGCUAUAUAGUUAUUAUAAGCACAAAAAUUAAGAGUGCUAUGUAUUUAAUUGCAUUCUAAAAUAACAUGACUUUACUGUAAUUAUACUGGUUACAAAUUACCCAGAGAAUUUCAUAAAUUAACAUGUACUACACCAUGGAAAAUAACUUUAUCUUUGUAAAUUUUACAAGUGCUGUAAACAUAAUGGUAAAACAAUAUUUUUAUGCUACGGAGUUUCAGUAAUUUUUACAGAACUUUUGUAAAUUUGAGGAACAAUCUGUAUUUGAAUAUUACGAAGUUAUCGUAUAUUUACUGCAUUGGUUUUGAAAUUUACAAAUAAUCUUUAUUUGAAUUUCACAAGUACUUGUAUAUUUACAGUAUUAAUUGUAAAAUUUACUAAGAAUACAUUUUUUAGUAUUACGAAGUACCGGUAUAUUUACGGCAUUGGUCGUGAAAUUUACGAAGAAUCCAUAUCUGAGAAUUACAAAGUACUAGUAUAUCUACGGCAUUGGUAGUGAAAUUUACGAAGAAUCCGUAUCUGAGUUUUACGAAGUACUAAUAUAUUUACGGCAUUGGUCGUGAAAUUUACGAAGAAUCCGUAUCUGGGUUUUACGAAGUACUAGUAUAUUUACGGCAUUGGUCGUGAAAUUUACGAAGAAUCCGUAUCUGAGUUUUACGAAGUACUGGUAUAUUUACGGCAUUGGUCGUGAAAUUUACGAAGAAUCCGUAACUGAGUUUUACGAAGUACUAGUAUAUUUACGGCAUUGGUUGUGAAAUUUACGGAGAUUUAGUUUUUUUCCCUAAUGAAGUAACCGUAAAUUUACGAAGACCACCGGAGAAUUUUUUUCCGGUACUUUUCGUAAAUUUACGGUAAAAUUUUUUAACAGUGAAGGUAUACUCGCACCUGUGGUUUCUUCCUUGUGAUUAGCGGCCGUCUGCGAGAAAAGUCGUUGCCUUAUUUGGCCGAGCCGCUCAGGACGCUUUUGCUUCCGCACUUAAACACUGUGAUUGGUGUUGUAACACUCGAUAUGUACCUGGGAGCAACUCACCCAAUCACGAAACACAGACGAUACUAUAGUGUUUUAACUUUCAUCUAGUCUCGAAAUCUUUUCGCGAAAUUUGCAUGCCCCUACCUAUUACUAGAGACUGACAAAAAUUCGCGAUUUCUAUUAUCUCUAGGAUGGACUCCACAAUCCCCUACACGCUCGGGCAUAUCCACCUGCUCAUUGGCUAUUGACUCGUGACACCUGUCAACUGGGACGCUUGUGAUUCGAUACUUUUUUUGAUUGAAGGUUUUUCCAUUGGCUCAAAGUCCUUCAGAUAAACUGUAAGCCAAUCACAGAAGCAAUAUAAAGGUACAGUUGUUUGGAUUUUAGCAUAUCGUGAAAUGAAUCCGCGAAUUUUUCCGGUCUCUACCUAUUACUGGCAUUCGGCCCUCUGGGUCCGCUUCUAGCUGUGAUGGUAGUAGAGACUCGGAAAUUUCGAUCAUUCUUCUGGUGGCAAGGUAGACUGCAAACAUGUGUACUUUUGCUUUAAUGAUUGGAAAUUCGCGCUUUCGAUGACCUCUAGGAUGGACUCCACAAUCCCCUACACACUCGGGCAAAUGCCAUCUGCUCAUUGGCUAUUGACUCGUGACACUUGUCAACUGGGACGCUUGCGAUUCGAUACUUUUUCGGUUGAAUGUUUUCCAUUGGCUCAAAGUCCUUCAGAUAAACUGUGAGCCAAUCACAGAAGCAAUAUAAAGGUACAGUUGUUUGGAUUCUAGGAUAUCGUGAAAUGAAUCCGCGAAUUUUUACUGUCUCUAAUGAUUAGAUCACAAUCGUUUGGACACUCCCCUCUACGAUUAUGAGCCAGUCAAUUAUCAGCCAACAGUAGAGGGGCAUGAAUCGCACCGACCCAAUCCACAGGCAGGGAAGUUGUACAGCAAGAAGUCAGCCAAUAGGAAAGCUUAUGUGUUUCCGAGUCUCUAAUGAUAGCAAAGGACCGAAAAAAAAAAUUCGCGUUUACAUUGACCUCCAGGAUAGACUCCACAAUCCUCCGCAUACAGGAGCAACCGUCGCCUGCUCAUUGGCUGCCGACUGGCGAGUCGUCUCGACUUGGUGACCUGUGAUUCGGUCAAUAUUUAGUUGAGUGUUUCUCAUUAGCCAGGAUCAUUCACAACAUACUGUGUGCCGUCAGUGGAAGCAGCUUAAGGGUAUACAUAUUUGUAUUUGCUCUUAUCGCGAAAUGAAUAAUGCAAUUUUUUAUUGGCCCCUAAUUUUAGCUUCACUUAAUGCAGCUUCACUCACUUUAUCAAGCAACUGUUCUUAGCAGCCGUUGACUGUUCGAGCGUAGUUAUUUUUUUUAACCGUUUUCAUCAUUUUUAACUUGAAAACGAUGUCGGUUUAAAAAAAAUCUCACACAGAAACACACGAGGUAAUACGCUAAUGUAUAUAAACAUGCAUAUUUCGCGAAAGGAUUUCAAGAUAAGUUGUGUGUUAUCACACUGUAGAAUCUUCUUUGUUUCGUGAUUGGUUGAGUUUAUUUCAGGCGCGUGUCCGCUGUCGGCUCGAAUCACUGAAGUUCUGUGCGGAAGCGAAAGCGUCCUGAUUGGUCCGGACAAGUAGGACAAUGGCUUCGAAUGCAGACGGCCGCCAAUCACAAGGAAGAAACCGCUUACGCGGGUUCACGUCGUUACAUUCUAAAUGAAGGUUUAGCUCUUUUUCGCGAAAAAAAAAUUACUUGGCCCUAUGUAUAGGAAAGACUCCUGGCCGAUGAGAAACGACAUUCAACUAAAUACUUACAGGACCACAGGCUACCAAAGCUGAUACGUCUCACCCUGUCGGCAGCCAAAGAACAGGCGACGUUUGCCCGAGUGAGCAGAGAAGUGCGGAGUUUAUCCUGGAGGUCACGAAAAACGCGAAUUUUUCCUGCCCCUAACUUAUCAAACGUUCAAAUUUCCCCGCGAAAAUACGCCAUCCCCCAAUCGUUUUGUGCCAAAAUAGUUUGCAGAACAGAGUAAGUCCUCGCUCUUAUGGUUGGUUUUUUUUAUAGCACGGCGUGGUUAUCGUCUGGUGAAUCACGGCCGCUGUGUGUGUCCGUACAGCUUUGUUCUCAUCGGCCGAGUCGAGUGCGCGUCAAGGGGAAGAAAUGCUGCGGACGUGAACAAAGCGCAUCGAAGAUUAACGAACCGUCAAAACUUUCCCCGCAGUGAAUCACAAUCUCUCGAGUGCCGGACCCCUUCGUGGCGAAGCCCGCGGCUCCGCCUGACCUCUUGACCUCUUGACCUCUUUCCUCGCGCGGGGACACAGUCGGCGGUCGCCCCCCCCCUUCCCCUACACACACAGCCAGUUGUUUACCCCAACCCUCAAACGGGAAAAAAAAUUUACCCUUUGGAAACCAGUGGCCGCGAAAUAAAUUUGUAAUACUGCAAGAAAGAUAGCUAACUUUGUGCAACACAUGGCUAUGGUUAUUUUUGCAUAUACGAAAUAAGUUGUUUUUGGAGAUAAUACUGAGUAUUUCUUACGAAAAUUAACGCAUAAUUUUAUAUGUUAGUUGAUGUUUCAUUCAAGCACAAUUUUAUAAACUAUAGAAGAGAUAAUAUAAUUUUCUCUAAUCGGACUUGAUUUAGUUUCAUUAUGCUAAUGAAUGUGUGCAGUUAAUACUGGAAAGCUAUUCAGGGAACGGUUUACAAAUAACUUUAACUAUUGGAGGUACUGGUACAACAACAAAGCAUAAAUGCCCGGCUAUAAAUCCGAAUUCAGAAUUACUGCGAAUGUUAUUUUGUAGAAAUAGUGUUGUUUUCAUGUGAAUGUGCAAAUUUAUAAAUAUCUGUAAUUUUACAGGAAUAUUUGUUCCAUUUACAAAAAAAAAAUCAGUUUACGAACGCUUGGUGACUCAUUAUUCAAUAUUCACGGGAAACAGUAGGCUACUCUGUACUUGAAAACUUGUAUUCGGUGUGUGCUAAUAAUUUUAUUAUAUUUAAGUUUUGGUAAUCUUACUUAAUCCAAUAAAUGAUUUGUCAGGGCCAUGUACGUUUCGUGAAAAGAUUUCCAGACAAGCUGUAUGUUAAAAACUUUGCGGAAUCGUGUUUGUUUCGUGGUUGGCUGUAUUUAUUGCAGGUAGAUGCAUUUAUGUUAUUAGCACGCCAAUCAUAGCCAUCCAGUGCGGAAGUAAACGCAUCCUGAAUGUCCCGGUCAAACAGGGCAAUGCAAAAAAAUGCAUGCCUCUAAUGAUUGCUCUUUUUUUUUUUACUGAUUCGUGAGAUGAAU
This is a long non-coding RNA of Bacillus rossius redtenbacheri, 10659 nucleotides long. RefSeq lists it as uncharacterized. Lineage: Eukaryota; Metazoa; Arthropoda; Insecta; Phasmatodea; Bacillidae. The record is from RefSeq and is a predicted model, not a curated record. The transcript is spliced from 3 exons.